UUAGGGGAGAGGGGUGAGCUAAAAGCCCAGUGAGCAGAAACUAAAAACAUUAUAUUAAAAUUCAUGUUUUCAUGAAAUGCAUCAUAUCACAGACAAUUCACAUCAAGGGUGAACCUGUCACCAAUUAGUCCCAACAUAGUCUCGUGCCAGGCCGUAGCAUGGGGUCCUGGUCUUCCUGUCAUAACAUACAUAAAGUCUCGUGCCAGGCCGUAGCAUAGGGUCCUGGUCUUCCUGUCAUAUCAUAUAUAAAGCCUCGUGCCAGGCCGUAGCAUGGGGUCCUGGUCUUCCUGNNNNNNNNNNNNNNNNNNNACAUACAUAAAGUCUCGUGCCAGGCCGUAGCAUGGGGUCCUGGUCUUCCUGUCAUAACAUACAUAUAGUCUCGUGGACUAAUUGGAUCAUACAGCAUUCACCCACAACCACAAAAUAAAAUGCAAUGCGACAUAUUCGUGAACUAAUGCAAUCAGCCUAUUACAUGUCAUCAUGAUGCAUGAAACAUGCUCAAAACAUUUAAUUGCUUGCUUUAGAACAUUAAGCUUGUUUCCACUCACCUCUGGCUAGCUCUGACCAGACACUGAAGCAGCUCACUCACUGCUGGGGUCCUCGGUUCCUCGGGUCCGAACCUACACAGGUGGACUCCAAUGAGGGACCAAACAUAUAUAAACAUAACUCUAAUAUAUCCCCCAAAAACCCCCUAAAACAUCAUGAAAACAUCACAGAAAAUAUGCAUGAAAUGGCUGAACAGGGCACCUUCGGCGGCACCUUCGGCGGCCGAAAGUCCUGGACAGAGACGAAACUCAGCUAGGUUCGGCGGCACCUUCGGCGGCCGAAAGUGCCAGACAGAGACGAAAGUCUCUCUUCGGGGGCACCUUCGGCAGCCGAAAGCUGCCUUCACAAGAGGGGUUCGGCGGCCGAAACUCCCUUCGGCUGCCUAACCUGGUUUCUGCCAAACGGCAGAAACUUGGUUCAAAUGAACCUCCUGCCUCCCAAAACCAUAGAUCAUGCAUAUUUCUCAACCAAAACACAN
This 1024-nucleotide long non-coding RNA is filed under the name Manihot esculenta (cassava). RNAcentral's name for it is "long non-coding RNA (MESC_LNC012007)". The record is from RNAcentral. Lineage: Eukaryota; Viridiplantae; Streptophyta; Magnoliopsida; Malpighiales; Euphorbiaceae.